UAUACAUGCAUGUCGAGCGAAGUACUUGUACUUAGCGGCGAAUGGGUGAGUAACACGUGCUCAACGUACCCUUCAGAUUGGGAUAGCGGCUGGAAACAGCCGAUAAUACCAAAUACCCGUAGGUUUCGCAUGAAGCUUACGUAAAAGGCGCGUUUGCGCCGCUGGAGGAUCGGGGUGCGCAACAUUAGCUAGUUGGUGAGGUAACGGCCCACCAAGGCUACGAUGUUUAGCGGGGUUGAGAGACUGAACCGCCACACUGGGACUGAGAUACGGCCCAGACUCCUACGGGAGGCAGCAGUAGGGAAUAUUCCACAAUGGACGAAAGUCUGAUGGAGCGACACAGCGUGAAGGAUGAAGGCCCCAUGGGUUGUAAACUUCUGUGGUAAGGGAAGAAAAAGUAGUGUAGGAAAUGCCACUACCUUGACGGUACCUUAUUAGAAAGCAACGGCUAACUAUGUGCCAGCAGCCGCGGUAAUACAUAGGUUGCAAGCGUUAUCCGGAAUUAUUGGGCGUAAAGCGUCUGUAGGUUGUUUGUUAAGUCUGGCGUUAAAUUUUGGGGCUCAACCCCAAACUGCGUUGGAUACUGGCAGGCUAGAGUUGUGUAGAGGUAAGCGGAAUUCCUUGUGAAGCGGUGAAAUGCGUAGAUAUAAGGAAGAACACCAAAAUGGCGAAGGCAGCUUACUGGGCAUAUACUGACACUGAGAGACGAAAGCGUGGGGAGCAAACAGGAUUAGAUACCCUGGUAGUCCACGCCCUAAACGAUGAUCAUUAGCUGAUGGAGAAUUCGUCAGCGCAGCUAACGCAUUAAAUGAUCCGCCUGAGUAGUACGUUCGCAAGAAUAAAACUUAAAGGAAUUGACGGGGACCCGCACAAGCGGUGGAGCAUGUGGUUUAAUUUGAAGAUACGCGUAGAACCUUACCCACUCUUGACAUCUUCCGCAAAGCUAUAGAGAUAUAGUGGAGGUUAACGGAAUGACAGAUGGUGCAUGGUUGUCGUCAGCUCGUGUCGUGAGAUGUUCGGUUAAGUCCUGCAACGAGCGCAACCCUUAUCCUUAGUUACUAACAUUCAGUUGAGCACUCUAGGGAGACUGCCCGAGUAAUCGGGAGGAAGGUGGGGACGACGUCAAAUCAUCAUGCCUCUUACGAGUGGGGCAACACACGUGCUACAAUGGUCGGUACAAAGAGAAGCAACCUGGUGACAGUGAGCAAACCUCAAAAAACCGAUCUCAGUUCGGAUUGGAGUCUGCAACUCGACUCCAUGAAGUCGGAAUCGCUAGUAAUCGUAGAUCAGCUACGCUACGGUGAAUACGUUCUCGGGUCUUGUACACACCGCCCGUCAAACCAUGGGAGCUGGUAAUGCCCGAAGUCGGUUUAUAACAAACUGCCUAAGGC
Molecule: ribosomal RNA, 1391 nt
Filed under: Mycoplasma sp.
Lineage: Bacteria; Bacillati; Mycoplasmatota; Mollicutes; Mycoplasmatales; Mycoplasmataceae
Description: bacterial SSU rRNA
Rfam family: Bacterial small subunit ribosomal RNA
Source: RNAcentral